GGAGAGGUGACAGAGCGGCCGAUUGUGCAGCACUGGAAAUGCUGUGUGGGGGAAACUUCACCGGGGGUUCGAAUCCCCCCCUCUCCGCUA
RNAcentral lists this transfer RNA (90 nucleotides) under Planctomycetota bacterium. Its description in RNAcentral is "Planctomycetes bacterium tRNA-Ser". It matches the Rfam family "tRNA". Rfam says of the family: Transfer RNA (tRNA) molecules are approximately 80 nucleotides in length. Their secondary structure includes four short double-helical elements and three loops (D, anti-codon, and T loops). Further hydrogen bonds mediate the characteristic L-shaped molecular structure. tRNAs have two regions of fundamental functional importance: the anti-codon, which is responsible for specific mRNA codon recognition, and the 3' end, to which the tRNAs corresponding amino acid is attached (by aminoacyl-tRNA synthetases). tRNAs cope with the degeneracy of the genetic code in two manners: having more than one tRNA (with a specific anti-codon) for a particular amino acid; and 'wobble' base-pairing, i.e. permitting non-standard base-pairing at the 3rd anti-codon position. Lineage: Bacteria; Pseudomonadati; Planctomycetota. The record is from RNAcentral.